UAGGUUAUUGCCAGGGUUUUUAUUUUUAUACUUUAAACUUUGAUUUUAUUUUUAUGUUUUUUAAAUAUUGGUGUUUUUGAAUGUGUUGUUUAAAUAACAUAAAAAAUAAAAUAUAUAUUGACAUGUAUUAAACAAAGAUAUAUAUUAUUUUAUGUUGUAUAAAUAAAUUGGCAAAAUAGAGAUGGAAGAUAAAAAUAAAAACCCUGGCAA
This 210-nucleotide unclassified non-coding RNA is filed under the name Borreliella burgdorferi (Lyme disease spirochete). RNAcentral's name for it is "partial miscellaneous RNA". Lineage: Bacteria; Pseudomonadati; Spirochaetota; Spirochaetia; Spirochaetales; Borreliaceae. The record is from RNAcentral.